Molecule: ribosomal RNA, 478 nt
Filed under: uncultured Desulfotomaculum sp.
Lineage: Bacteria; Bacillati; Bacillota; Clostridia; Eubacteriales; Desulfotomaculaceae
Description: bacterial SSU rRNA
Rfam family: Bacterial small subunit ribosomal RNA
Source: RNAcentral
UUAAAGGAAUUGACGGGGCCCGCACAAGCGGUGGAGCAUGUGGUUAAUUCGAUGCAACGCGAAGAACUUACCUGGGCUUGACAUCCCGAGAAUCCCCUGGAAACAGGGAGUGCCCUUCGGGAGCUCGGAGACAGGUGGUGCAUGGUUGUCGUCAGCUCGUGUCGUGAGAUGUUGGGUUAAGUCCCGCAACGAGCGCAACCCUUACGGUUAGUUGCCAGCGGGUUAUGCCGGGCACUCUAGCUGAACUGUCGUUGACAAAACGGAGGAAGGUGGGAUGACGUCAAAUCAUCAUGCCCUUUAUGUCCUGGGCUACACACGUGCUACAAUGGCCUGUACAGAGGGAAGCGAAAGGGUGACCUGGAGCGAAUCCCAAAAAGCAGGUCUCAGUUCGGAUUGCAGGCUGCAACCCGCCUGCAUGAAGUCGGAAUCGCUAGUAAUCGCAGGUCAGCAUACUGUGGUGAAUACGUUCCCGGGCCUU